UACGUAGGCGGAAAAUUAAGUCAGUAGUGAAAUCCUGCAGCUUAACAGUAGAACUGUUAUUGAUACUGGUUUUCUUGAAUAUAGUUGAGGUAGGCGGAAUGUGUAAUGUAGCGGUGAAAUGCUUAGAUAUUACACAGAACACCGAUUGCGAAGGCAGCUUACUAAGCUAUGAUUGACGCUGAGGUACGAAAGCGUGGGGAGCGAACAGGAUUAGAUACCCUGGUAGUCC
This 229-nucleotide ribosomal RNA is filed under the name uncultured bacterium. RNAcentral's name for it is "partial 16S ribosomal RNA". It matches the Rfam family "Bacterial small subunit ribosomal RNA", at positions 568 to 796 of the family's 1533-position model. The record is from RNAcentral.